This 148-nucleotide non-coding RNA is filed under the name Nomascus leucogenys (northern white-cheeked gibbon). The record is from Rfam by way of RNAcentral. Lineage: Eukaryota; Metazoa; Chordata; Mammalia; Primates; Hylobatidae.
GCCGGGCAUGGUGGCGGGUGUCUGUAAUCCCAGCUACUCAGGAGGCGGAGGCAGGAGGAUUGCUUGCACCCAGGAGACGGGAGUUGCAGUGAGCUGAGAUCCUGCCACUGCACUCCAGCAUGGGUGACAGAGUGAGACUCUGUCUCAA